GAUGAACGCUGGCGGCGUGCCUAAUACAUGCAAGUCGAGCGAACAGACGAGGAGCUUGCUCCUCUGACGUUAGCGGCGGACGGGUGAGUAACACGUGGAUAACCUACCUAUGAGACGGGGAUAACUUCGGGAAACCGGAGCUAAUACCGGAUAAUAUAUUGAACCGCAUGGUUCAAUAGUGAAAGACGGUUUUGCUGUCACUUAUAGAUGGAUCCGCGCCGCAUUAGCUAGUUGGUAAGGUAACGGCUUACCAAGGCAACGAUGCGUAGCCGACCUGGGAGGGUGAUCGGCCACACUGGAACUGAGACACGGUCCAGACUCCUACGGGAGGCAGCAGUAGGGAAUCUUCCGCAAUGGGCGAAAGCUUGACGGAGCAACGCCGCGUGAGUGAUGAAGGUCUUCGGAUCUUAAAACUCUGUUAUUAGGGAAGAACAAAUGUGUAAGUAACUAUGCACGUCUUGACGGUACCUAAUCAGAAAGCCACGGCUAACUACGUG
RNAcentral lists this ribosomal RNA (497 nucleotides) under uncultured bacterium. RNAcentral's name for it is "partial 16S ribosomal RNA". It matches the Rfam family "Bacterial small subunit ribosomal RNA", at positions 28 to 507 of the family's 1533-position model. The record is from RNAcentral.